GUGGGGAAUAUUGGGCAAUGGGCGAAAGCCUGACCCAGCAACGCCGCGUGAAGGAAGAAGGUUUUCGGAUCGUAAACUUCUAUCCUUGGUGAAGAUAAUGACGGUAGCCAAGAAGGAAGCCCCGGCUAACUACGUGCCAGCAGCCGCGGUAAUACGUAGGGGGCAAGCGUUGUCCGGAAUGAUUGGGCGUAAAGGGCGCGUAGGCGGCCCGGUAAGUCUGAAGUGAAAGUCCUGCUUUUAAGGUGGGAAUUGCUUUGGAUACUGUCGGGCUUGAGUGCAGGAGAGGUAAGCGGAAUUCCCGGUGUAGCGGUGAAAUGCGUAGAGAUCGGGAGGAACACCAGUGGCGAAGGCGGCUUACUGGACUGUAACUGACGCUGAGGCGCGAAAGUGUGGGGAGCAAACAGGAUUAGAUACCCGGUAGUCC
This 424-nucleotide ribosomal RNA is filed under the name uncultured bacterium. RNAcentral describes it as "partial 16S ribosomal RNA". It matches the Rfam family "Bacterial small subunit ribosomal RNA", at positions 354 to 796 of the family's 1533-position model. The record is from RNAcentral.